GCCUCGAGCUGGCGAGUUCUUUCCCCUCCUCCUGCGUUUCUCUCCCUCCCUCUCUCUCUCUUUCUCUCUCUCUUCUCUACUGUGUUGGCCAACACACACUCUUUCUCUCUGUCUGUGUCCUUGCCUCUCCCUGUGCUUUCUCCCUUUUAUAGGACACGGGUAGGUGUGGAUCUCCACAGGCUAGGUCUCGGGAGCCAGGAAGAAGUAGGAGGGGAUGAAAAUCAUGUGAGGUAGUGGGUGCGAGAGUGGAGGCAGGUAUUGUAAAAUAUCUAGCACGGUAGCAUGUUGGACAGUGAUGGCUCUUCCAUAGGUAGUUUGCUGUUCUUGCAGAGGCCCGCUCAAGGCCAAUGGAGCCGCCCCAGACAGAGGAGAAGCAUCUGGAGGAACGAGACCUGCACAAUCUAGAUGUUUCACUUGGCAGUGGAGCUAAGGAGUGCUCUCGUGAUAUUCGAGGAGCAGUCGUACUGAGAUUGGUCAGAUGAAAGAUCGGCCAACCUGUGGCAGAGACCAAAGAAGGAGCAGCCACCCAGAGCCCAUCCCUAGGGAUGGAAGCCGGACAAUGAUCUGCAGAUACCAUGGAGAAAAGUGAAGGGUAAGAGCCCACCUCCGUUGUGAGAUGGAAAGCACCAAGAGCUGUGAGACCACAAGCGUUGUUGAUGCCAGGCUAUGGCGAUGCCGUCAAUCUGGGAGUGGAGCAGCCGUCACCAUCAGUAAGAUAAGUGUCUGUCUGGUUUGGGGAGGACUCCAGUAACGGCCCACCUGCCUCCAGGCUGAGACUUGUCAUUAGCUGGGGCUCGGUUUGUAGGAAAAGAUUCCUGACCUGCUGUGGUUACGAGGGAGACAAGGUCCCCAUUUUCUGGGGCUGGUCUUUUCUCUGUCCACAAACAGUGUGUCCUACGCAGCAGAAGGUUGGAUCGAGGAGGAUGACUCCAGCUGUUGAGUUUCUUGACUCCAUCCCACAUUUUUCUCUCUCUCUCCUCUAAUGUGUUGGCCA
Long non-coding RNA from Mauremys mutica (yellowpond turtle), 994 nucleotides. RefSeq lists it as uncharacterized. The record is from RefSeq and is a predicted model, not a curated record. The transcript has 3 exons. NCBI's taxonomy places the organism in Eukaryota, Metazoa, Chordata, Testudines, Geoemydidae.